GCAUAUCAAUAAGCGGAGGAAAAGAAACCAACAGGGAUUGCCCUAGUAACGGCGAGUGAAGCGGCAACAGCUCAAAUUUGAAAGCUAGCCUUCGGGUUCGCAUUGUAAUUUGUAGAGGAUGCUUUGGGUAAAACGCCAGUCUAAGUUCCUUGGAACAGGACGUCAUAGAGGGUGAGAAUCCCGUAUGUGACUGGAAAUGUUAACCUAUGUAAAGCUCCUUCGACGAGUCGAGUUGUUUGGGAAUGCAGCUCUAAAUGGGAGGUAAAUUUCUUCUAAAGCUAAAUAUUGGCGAGAGACCGAUAGCGCACAAGUAGAGUGAUCGAAAGAUGAAAAGCACUUUGGAAAGAGAGUUAAAAAGCACGUGAAAUUGUUGAAAGGGAAGCGCUUGCAAUCAGACUUGUUUAAACUGUUCGGCCGGUCUUCUGACCGGUUUACUCAGUUUGGACAGGCCAGCAUCAGUUUCGGCGGCCGGAUAAAGGCUCUGGGAAUGUGGCCUCCACUUCGGUGGAGGUGUUAUAGCCCAGUGUGUAAUACGGCCAGCCGGGACUGAGGUCCGCGCUUCGGCUAGGAUGCGG
RNAcentral lists this ribosomal RNA (575 nucleotides) under Aureobasidium namibiae. Its description in RNAcentral is "partial large subunit ribosomal RNA". It matches the Rfam family "Eukaryotic large subunit ribosomal RNA", at positions 38 to 628 of the family's 3401-position model. The record is from RNAcentral. Lineage: Eukaryota; Fungi; Ascomycota; Dothideomycetes; Dothideales; Saccotheciaceae.